This is a non-coding RNA of Pelobates cultripes (western spadefoot toad), 472 nucleotides long. The record is from the annotation of a GenBank genome assembly. Lineage: Eukaryota; Metazoa; Chordata; Amphibia; Anura; Pelobatidae.
UGAUCCAAAACCUCCAUUUGUUCAUGAGAACGGGGUUUUGUGUCAUGACCAAAAUGGAGAACUGUGUCCGGUCAUGCCAGAACAUCUAAAAGUGUUAUUUACUCAAUAUAAUCAUGAAAGCUUAGGUCACAUUGGACAGCAGAAAUUGUUAGAGGUACUAAGAGAUAAGUUUUAUUGGGAUAACAUGGAAAAGACUGUACAACAGGUAGUGCAAUCAUGUUUGAUAUGUGCACAAAAAAAUCCCAGACCUAAAGGACAAAAACCGCCUAUACAACGUAUAGCACCUGCAAAUGGUCCUUGGACUACUUUACAAAUUGAUUUUAUUGGGCCAUUACCAACAGGCAAGAAUGGAUUAAAAUAUGCGUUAGUAGUUGUGGAUGUAUUCUCUAAAUGGUUAGAAGUAAUUCCUCUGACUAAAGAUGAUUCACAAAAAACAGCUGAAGCAUUAUGGACACACAUUUUCUCAAGAUGG